CCUACGGGUGGCAGCAGUGGGGAAUAUUGGACAAUGGGCGAAAGCCUGAUCCAGCCAUGCCGCGUGUGUGAAGAAGGCCUUCGGGUUGUAAAGCACUUUCAGUGGGGAAGAAAGCCUUGGGGCUAAUACCCUCGAGGAAGGACAUCACCCACAGAAGAAGCACCGGCUAACUCCGUGCCAGCAGCCGCGGUAAUACGGAGGGUGCGAGCGUUAAUCGGAAUUACUGGGCGUAAAGCGCGCGUAGGCGGUCUGAUAAGCCGGUUGUGAAAGCCCCGGGCUCAACCUGGGAACGGCAUCCGGAGGGGUAAGGAAAGAGAGCAGUAGAGUAAGGGAGAAAGCACGGGGUGGAGGUGCAAUGAGUAGAGAUCGGGAGGAAUCACAGGGGAGAAGGCGGUCGGCUGGAAGGACAUCGACGCUGAGGUGAGAAAGAGGUGGUAGAAAAAAGGAGUAGAUAACAUGGUAGUC
Molecule: ribosomal RNA, 465 nt
Filed under: Vreelandella stevensii
Lineage: Bacteria; Pseudomonadati; Pseudomonadota; Gammaproteobacteria; Oceanospirillales; Halomonadaceae
Description: partial 16S ribosomal RNA
Rfam family: Bacterial small subunit ribosomal RNA
Source: RNAcentral